GCCUGUAGCCAUACCAUCCUGAAUACAUCUGAUCUCAUCUGAUCUCAGAAGCUUAGCAGGGUCAGGCCUGCUUAGUACUUGAAUGGGAGACCACCUGACAAUAUCAAGUGCACCUGCU
Non-coding RNA from Podarcis lilfordi (Lilford's wall lizard), 118 nucleotides. The record is from the annotation of a GenBank genome assembly. Lineage: Eukaryota; Metazoa; Chordata; Lepidosauria; Squamata; Lacertidae.